RNAcentral lists this ribosomal RNA (482 nucleotides) under uncultured bacterium. Its description in RNAcentral is "partial 16S ribosomal RNA". It matches the Rfam family "Bacterial small subunit ribosomal RNA", at positions 29 to 507 of the family's 1533-position model. The record is from RNAcentral.
AUUGAACGCUGGCGGCAUGCCUAACACAUGCAAGUCGAACGGUAACAGGACGCAAGGUGCCGACGAGUGGCGCACGGGUGAGUAAUGCAUCCGAACGUGCACGGUCGUGGGGGCUAACUACUCGCAAGAGGAGCUAAUACCGCAUACGAUCUAUGGUAGUAAACGGGGGACUGCAAGGCCUAGCGCGAGUGGAGCGGCCGAUGUCAGAUGAGUGAGUUGGUGGGGUACAGGCUCACCAAGUCAACGAUCUGUAGCUGGUCUGAGAGGACGAGCCGCCACACUGGGACUGAGGCACGGCCCAGACUCCUACGGGGGGCAGCAGUGGGGAAUUUUGGACAAUGGGCGCAAGCCUGAUCCAGCAAUGCCGCGGGCAGGAAGAAGGCCUUCGGGUUGUAAACUGCUUUUGUACGGAACGAAACGGCUCUGGAUAAUCCCCGGGGCUAAUGACGGUACCGGAAGAAUACGCACCGGCUAACUACGUG